UAACACGCCUACUUUUGUUGCCGGAAUCAUCCGUGGCCAUCCUACCCAAGUAUGUCAAUUGUUAUUAUUUCAUCUACCGACACAAAAUUGGCAAUAAAGGUCUCGCAGUAAAUGAUUAAUUCUAAAAAUUGUUUCAGAAAAAACUGUUAGUUUUCGUAUGAAUAGAACGUAUCAUCCAGUUAGUAAAAUUGUAUAAGAUACCGUGAAAAAAAAUCUAACAAGUGUUAUAUGUGAUGUGUCUUAUAAGUUACAAAUUUUCCCAUGACGUCAAUGUCAUUCAGACUCUCUCUUGACUUUGCGUAUGAAAUGAAACAAGAUCAGAUAACUCCGAGAAUCAUUUAGACUUUCCCAUACAAUUGACCAGUCGGAAACCGAGAUAUAUAAAGAACGUGACGUUUAUUGCCAAUUCGUCGUCGGUAGACGAAAUAAUUACGAUUGACAUACUUGGGUAGGAUUGCUGCGGAUGAUUCCGACAACAAAA
RNAcentral lists this long non-coding RNA (481 nucleotides) under Mytilus galloprovincialis (Mediterranean mussel). Lineage: Eukaryota; Metazoa; Mollusca; Bivalvia; Mytilida; Mytilidae. The record is from RNAcentral.